CUCUACCUAAGUCAUAAAACUCAGGUUUUUAUUUGAAAAUAACUAUUCAUAUAAAGUAUACUUGAAUUAGUAAGUAUGGAAAUGAUAAGAAAAGCUUAAGAAAAAUCUUAUAAGAGCAAUAGAAAAUCAUAUAAGACAUAACUGGUUUUAUAAAAUCUUAUUCUUUGAGCUAAAGAAUCCUUUGAACUAACUAUUUACCUAG
This 202-nucleotide long non-coding RNA is filed under the name Elaeis guineensis (African oil palm). RNAcentral describes it as "long non-coding RNA (EGUI_LNC066345)". The record is from RNAcentral. Lineage: Eukaryota; Viridiplantae; Streptophyta; Magnoliopsida; Arecales; Arecaceae.